Non-coding RNA from Drosophila virilis, 1280 nucleotides. Lineage: Eukaryota; Metazoa; Arthropoda; Insecta; Diptera; Drosophilidae. The record is from RefSeq and is a predicted model, not a curated record.
UUUCAAAUAUGUAUAAUAAAAUAUCAGAGUAUUAUAAUUAAUAUCAGAGAAUAAUAUAAGAAACCUCAUCUGAUAUUCCGGCCACAUGAAAUUAAUAUAUUAUAGUCCCAAUGGAAAUUUGUGGUUUAACUGACUUAAAACUUAAAGUAUAUUAAUAUCAGAUCCCAUUCAAUUGUUUUCUCAAUCAAAUCACUUACUUUAUUAAGGUUAAAUCCUAUGCUAGUUAUUAAGCUGUGUAAAUAUCUGAUACGAUUCAACUUUUCAUACUAAGCUGGAUGACUAAAUCGUAUAUAAAUCUGGUGAAAGCGUUUUUCGAAACACUUGCAAACUUGGUUUUUACUUUUUGCUUUUUGCUUUCUGUUUUUUUUUUUUUUUGCAUUUAUAACCGGGAAAACUAUAAAAUGGCAGCAGACGCUGCUGAAGCACAGCCAAAAUCUGUCAAACUCAAAUCACAAAUGCAGACAAAACUGACAAAUGCGAAUGGGCAGACAGUCAUACGACAAAUUGACAGACAUCCAGACAGACAUCCAGACAGAAUUUCAGACAGACAGCUAGUUGUCAAACAGUGCAACAACAUUUGCUUUUCAUUGCCAAAAACUGUUGAAGGUUUGAAGAUUGCAGUUGCCCUUAGGCCUGACAUAUAGUAGCAUCUCGAAGAUUGGGCUCUCUUCCGUUCUUGAAGGCAAACUCAUUAACAAGUUGGCUCACAAAAUGCCAAAAACUCGACGGUGGCCCAAGCUGUCGAUGACUGGCGACAAGCUGCCGCAUCAGCAUCAGCAACAGCAACAGCAGCCGCAACUAAUGGCUGGCUGCCAGUUUAAUCGUUGCCUUUUGGUAGGAAGAGCUAACCAACUGCUGCAGCGAAUGCUCGCACUCCGCAGCAGCGAGCCCUGUGUAGAGUUUUAUUAAAAGCCAAACAGUCUGCGACAUAUGUAUGUGUACCAGGCAGCUGAGACUGUCAAGACGGAAGGCGCAGACACGGGCUGAUAAAUACAGACAAAUUACAGUCGUAGAGGCCAAGUACAGUGAUGUCCAUCAAUGAAGGCCAAACUAUCACUAUUAUAUAUAGUCAAAGCCAGGACAACUGUCAAAGCGGAAAGCGCAGCCACUGGCCAUCAGUGAAAGCCAAAUAACGAGCAUUUAAUAUAAUCAAAACAAAGAACUAAGCUUUCUAAUGCAAAAGACAUUUACUAUCAAAUAAACUUAAUAAAAUGUAAUCAAAAAAAGUUAAGCUUUUCAAAUUAUCAACAGUUCAAUGAUAAAGAAAAAUUCUAUGUAAA